RNAcentral lists this ribosomal RNA (612 nucleotides) under Leuconostoc sp. RNAcentral's name for it is "bacterial SSU rRNA". It matches the Rfam family "Bacterial small subunit ribosomal RNA", at positions 77 to 675 of the family's 1533-position model. The record is from RNAcentral. Lineage: Bacteria; Bacillati; Bacillota; Bacilli; Lactobacillales; Lactobacillaceae.
UGCUUGCACCUUUCAAGCGAGUGGCGAACGGGUGAGUAACACGUGGAUAACCUGCCUCAAGGCUGGGGAUAACAUUUGGAAACAGAUGCUAAUACCGAAUAAAACUUAGUAUCGCAUGAUAUCAAGUUAAAAGGCGCUACGGCGUCACCUAGAGAUGGAUCCGCGGUGCAUUAGUUAGUUGGUGGGGUAAAGGCUUACCAAGACGAUGAUGCAUAGCCGAGUUGAGAGACUGAUCGGCCACAUUGGGACUGAGACACGGCCCAAACUCCUACGGGAGGCUGCAGUAGGGAAUCUUCCACAAUGGGCGCAAGCCUGAUGGAGCAACGCCGCGUGUGUGAUGAAGGCUUUCGGGUCGUAAAGCACUGUUGUAUGGGAAGAAAUGCUAAAAUAGGGAAUGAUUUUAGUUUGACGGUACCAUACCAGAAAGGGACGGCUAAAUACGUGCCAGCAGCCGCGGUAAUACGUAUGUCCCGAGCGUUAUCCGGAUUUAUUGGGCGUAAAGCGAGCGCAGACGGUUGAUUAAGUCUGAUGUGAAAGCCCGGAGCUCAACUCCGGAAUGGCAUUGGAAACUGGUUAACUUGAGUGUUGUAGAGGUAAGUGGAAAUCCAUUGG